AGAGUUUGAUCAUGGCUCAGAUUGAACGCUGGCGGCAGGCCUAACACAUGCAAGUCGAGCGGUAGCACAGAGAGCUUGCUCUCGGGUGACGAGCGGCGGACGGGUGAGUAAUGUCUGGGAAACUGCCUGAUGGAGGGGGAUAACUACUGGAAACGGUAGCUAAUACCGCAUAAUGUCGCAAGACCAAAGUGGGGGACCUUCGGGCCUCAUGCCAUCAGAUGUGCCCAGAUGGGAUUAGCUAGUAGGUGGGGUAACGGCUCACCUAGGCGACGAUCCCUAGCUGGUCUGAGAGGAUGACCAGCCACACUGGAACUGAGACACGGUCCAGACUCCUACGGGAGGCAGCAGUGGGGAAUAUUGCACAAUGGGCGCAAGCCUGAUGCAGCCAUGCCGCGUGUGUGAAGAAGGCCUUCGGGUUGUAAAGCACUUUCAGCGGGGAGGAAGGCGGUAAGGUUAAUAACCUUGGCGAUUGACGUUACCCGCAGAAGAAGCACCGGCUAACUCCGUGCCAGCAGCCGCGGUAAUACGGAGGGUGCAAGCGUUAAUCGGAAUUACUGGGCGUAAAGCGCACGCAGGCGGUCUGUCAAGUCGGAUGUGAAAUCCCCGGGCUCAACCUGGGAACUGCAUUCGAAACUGGCAGGCUAGAGUCUUGUAGAGGGGGGUAGAAUUCCAGGUGUAGCGGUGAAAUGCGUAGAGAUCUGGAGGAAUACCGGUGGCGAAGGCGGCCCCCUGGACAAAGACUGACGCUCAGGUGCGAAAGCGUGGGGAGCAAACAGGAUUAGAUACCCUGGUAGUCCACGCCGUAAACGAUGUCGAUUUGGAGGUUGUGCCCUUGAGGCGUGGCUUCCGGAGCUAACGCGUUAAAUCGACCGCCUGGGGAGUACGGCCGCAAGGUUAAAACUCAAAUGAAUUGACGGGGGCCCGCACAAGCGGUGGAGCAUGUGGUUUAAUUCGAUGCAACGCGAAGAACCUUACCUGGUCUUGACAUCCACAGAACUUUCCAGAGAUGGAUUGGUGCCUUCGGGAACUGUGAGACAGGUGCUGCAUGGCUGUCGUCAGCUCGUGUUGUGAAAUGUUGGGUUAAGUCCCGCAACGAGCGCAACCCUUAUCCUUUGUUGCCAGCGGUCCGGCCGGGAACUCAAAGGAGACUGCCAGUGAUAAACUGGAGGAAGGUGGGGAUGACGUCAAGUCAUCAUGGCCCUUACGACCAGGGCUACACACGUGCUACAAUGGCAUAUACAAAGAGAAGCGACCUCGCGAGAGCAAGCGGACCUCAUAAAGUAUGUCGUAGUCCGGAUUGGAGUCUGCAACUCGACUCCAUGAAGUCGGAAUCGCUAGUAAUCGUAGAUCAGAAUGCUACGGUGAAUACGUUCCCGGGCCUUGUACACACCGCCCGUCACACCAUGGGAGUGGGUUGCAAAAGAAGUAGGUAGCUUAACCUUCGGGAGGGCGCUUACCACUUUGUGAUUCAUGACUGGGGUGAAGUCGUAACAAGGUAACCGUAGGGGAACCUGCGGUUGGAUCACCU
This 1528-nucleotide ribosomal RNA is filed under the name Klebsiella pneumoniae. RNAcentral's name for it is "bacterial SSU rRNA". It matches the Rfam family "Bacterial small subunit ribosomal RNA". The record is from RNAcentral. Lineage: Bacteria; Pseudomonadati; Pseudomonadota; Gammaproteobacteria; Enterobacterales; Enterobacteriaceae.